AUUUAAAAUGUAACUUAUAUAUAAUGUUAACAUUAUUUUCCAUGACAUUGAUAUAAGUAAUGUAUUUAAAUCAUCUGUUUGAAGAUAUUGUAAUUAAAACUUGUAGUUUAUAUCUAUGUGUAGAAGAACAUGAAAAAAUGCAGUGGCGUGAUUGAUUGUCGUUUAUCCUGAAGAAGUCGCCAAUUUUUAACUACUUACGCUAAGUCGCCAAUUUUUAAAUACUUACGCUAAGUCGUAAUUUGAUGAUUGAAAUAAAAAUUGAACAUAUGAUACCGAAAAUUACAUUAAAAGCUUCCAAGAUGUUAAACAACGUGAUGUAGGGUUGCCACCUUUUUGAGUUCGAACCAAAAACUCCGGAUUUUGAAGAUUUAUGUCCGAGUUUGGAUUUCGUUACUUCUCCAGGUUGCAUAAAAUAUCUUAUGAAAAAACGUCUUAUGUAGUUUUUAAUGAAAAAAAUUCCUUGAAUGUACGGCAUUGGAAAAAAACUAAGAAGGGCGUUUCGAAUAAGAUGUAUACAUUACGAUGUUAUAUUUAUCGAUGAACUGUUAAGAAUUUUAUGAAUUUAUCAAGAAAUUUAAAAAUAUGGAGCUUGUUAAAACUGCAAAUAUUUA
This 611-nucleotide unclassified non-coding RNA is filed under the name Acromyrmex echinatior (Panamanian leafcutter ant). RNAcentral's name for it is "uncharacterized LOC105149361, transcript variant X3". Lineage: Eukaryota; Metazoa; Arthropoda; Insecta; Hymenoptera; Formicidae. The record is from RNAcentral.